UGAGGAAUAUUGGUCAAUGGGCGAGAGCCUGAACCAGCCAAGUAGCGUGCAGGACGACGGCCCUAUGGGUUGUAAACUGCUUUUAUGUGGGGAUAAAGUGCGUGACGUGUCAUGCAUUGCAGGUACCACAUGAAUAAGGACCGGCUAAUUCCGUGCCAGCAGCCGCGGUAAUACGGAAGGUCCGUGCGUUAUCCGGAUUUAUUUGGUUUAAAGGGAGCGUAGGCUGUCUAUUAAGCGUGUUGUGAAAUAUACCGGCUCAACCGGUGGCUUGCAGCGCGAACUGGUCGACUUGAGUAUGCAGGAAGUAGGCGGAAUUCAUGGUGUAGCGGUGAAAUGCUUAGAUAUCAUGACGAACUCCGAUUGCGCAGGCAGCUUACUGUAGCAUAACUGACGCUGAUGCUCGAAAGUGCGGGUAUCAAACAGG
RNAcentral lists this ribosomal RNA (424 nucleotides) under Verrucomicrobiota bacterium. Its description in RNAcentral is "Verrucomicrobia bacterium partial 16S ribosomal RNA". It matches the Rfam family "Bacterial small subunit ribosomal RNA", at positions 355 to 776 of the family's 1533-position model. The record is from RNAcentral. Lineage: Bacteria; Pseudomonadati; Verrucomicrobiota.